Cannabis sativa is the source of this 626-nucleotide long non-coding RNA. RefSeq lists it as uncharacterized. NCBI's taxonomy places the organism in Eukaryota, Viridiplantae, Streptophyta, Magnoliopsida, Rosales, Cannabaceae. The transcript has 2 exons. The record is from RefSeq and is a predicted model, not a curated record.
UUAAAUGCUUAUUCUCUCUUAAACGAUUGAGGAUAGAAGUUUUAGGCCUAAAGGAUUGAGGAGGAAGUUUCGCCAUUCAAGAAGGAUUGAAGAAAGUAAACUAUAUAAAGUUGCGACUGAAUGAGGAAAUUUUGCAAUUGAGGAUGGAAGCUUUGCGAUUGAGAGAGGUAGUGAUUUGGGUUUGGUGGUGCAACUGAUUUGGGCCCACCAGAGUAAGCUAUAGGAUUGGAUUUGGCAAGUUACUGAGAGGAUUACCAAGAUAAAGGAUGCACAUAAAUGCUUAAUUUGAUCUUAGUUUCACCAUCACGUUUGUAGUUUAAAUUGAAUUUAGUGAUGUUCUCAAAUUCUUAAAAAAAAGCCAAGAAAUUUGAGGGUGAGAAAGUUAAGAAAAAGUGGACUCACAUGCUUUAGUUAAGAAUUGUAUUUUGAUGUUUCUGAGAAAAAGACUCCUAUUCACAUGAACAUUGAGAUUUUAUAUUUUACAGGUACACUUUCGAAUCUUUGAAUUGGCCUCUCAUAUUACAAAGAUAUUUCAUUGGAUAUUUUUAUUUGUGCCUAAUAUUUUGGCAUCUUCUAUUUAUGUUCCUCAAGACUAAUCAUUAAUCAAUGCAUCCAAUUCAUUAGCA